GACCCUGGUCUUAUUGUAUAGGAGUUUUUGAAAAAUAAAGGAGCAAUAAUUCCCUUCUUCUUCUAUAUAAGAUAGAUAAGAGGGCUUUAUUGCUCCUUUAUUUUCUUUUUAUUUAUUCUAGUAUUUUAUUAGUACUCGGAUUUAAAUAUGGAUGUUUUUUUUUUAAACAAAAGCAAAGAAAAUGUUCGAAACGAAAUUUUUUAAUUUAAAUAUUAAAUAAAUAUAAUAUGAAAUUAAAAAAAAAAUCUAAAAAAUUAGAAUAGAGGGCGGAUGUAGCCAAGUGGAUUAAGGCAGUGGAUUGUGAAUCCACCAUGCGCG
This 318-nucleotide unclassified non-coding RNA is filed under the name Uncaria hirsuta. Its description in RNAcentral is "partial contains psbA-trnH intergenic spacer and tRNA-His". The stretch from base 267 to 318 matches the Rfam family "tRNA", at positions 1 to 49 of the family's 71-position model. The record is from RNAcentral. Lineage: Eukaryota; Viridiplantae; Streptophyta; Magnoliopsida; Gentianales; Rubiaceae.